CCUACGGGUGGCAGCAGUGGGGAAUAUUGGGCAAUGGGCGCAAGCCUGACCCAGCAACGCCGCGUGAAGGAAGAAGGCUUUCGGGUUGUAAACUUCUUUUAAGAGGGAAGAGCAGAAGACGGUACCUCUUGAAUAAGCUACGGCUAACUACGUGCCAGCAGCCGCGGUAAUACGUAGGGUGCAAGCGUGGUCCGGAUUUACUGGGUGUAAAGGGCGUGCAGCCGGGAAGACAAGUCAGAUGUGAAAUCCCGCGGCUCAACCGGGGAACUGCAUUUGAAACUGGUUAGCUUGAGUACCGGAGAGGUCAGCAGAAUUCCAUGUGUAGCGGUGAAAUGCGUAGAUAUAAGGAAGAACACCAGUGGCGAAGGCGGAUGACUGGAC
This 381-nucleotide ribosomal RNA is filed under the name uncultured bacterium. Its description in RNAcentral is "partial 16S ribosomal RNA". It matches the Rfam family "Bacterial small subunit ribosomal RNA", at positions 338 to 734 of the family's 1533-position model. The record is from RNAcentral.